AGGACGAACGCUGGCGGCGUGCUUAACACAUGCAAGUCGAGCGGAAAGGCCCUUCGGGGUACUCGAGCGGCGAACGGGUGAGUAACACGUGAGCAACCUGCCCUUAGCUUCGGGAUAGCUCCGGGAAACCGGAAUUAAUACCGAAUAUGACUUUGGCUGACAUCAGCAGAAGUGGAAAGUUUUCGGCUAGGGAUGGACUCGCGGCCUAUCAGCUAGUUGGUGAGGUAACGGCCCACCAAGGCGACGACGGGUAGCCGGCCUGAGAGGGCGCGACGGACGACGACUGGAACUGAAACACGGUCCAGACUCCUACGGGAGGCAGCAGUGGGGAAUUUUGCGCAAUGGGGGAAACCCUGACGCAGCAACGCCGCGUGGAGGAUGAAAUCCCUUGGGAUGUAAACUCCUUUCGAUAGGGAAGAUAAUGACGGUACCUAUAGAAGAAGCCCCGGCUAACUUCGUGCCAGCAGCCGC
This 471-nucleotide ribosomal RNA is filed under the name uncultured bacterium. RNAcentral's name for it is "SSU rRNA". It matches the Rfam family "Bacterial small subunit ribosomal RNA", at positions 26 to 518 of the family's 1533-position model. The record is from RNAcentral.